UGGGGAAUAUUGCACAAUGGGCGCAAGCCUGAUGCAGCCAUGCCGCGUGUGUGAAGAAGGCCUUCGGUUGUAAAGCACUUUCAGCGAGGAGGAAGGUGGUGAGCUUAAUACGCUCAUCAAUUGACGUUACUCGCAGAAGAAGCACCCGCUAACUCCGUGCCAGCAGCCGCGGUAAUACGGAGGGUGCAAGCGUUAAUCGGAAUUACUGGGCGUAAAGCGCACGCAGGCGGUUUGUUAAGUCAGAUGUGAAAUCCCCGGGCUCAACCUGGGAACUGCAUUGAAACUGGCAGCUAGAGUCUCGUAGAGGGGGUAGAAUUCCAGGUGGUAGCGGUGAAAUGCGUAGAGAUCUGGAGGAAUACCGGUGGCGAAGGCGGCCCCCUGGACGAAGACUGACCGCUCAGGUGCGAAAGCGUGGGG
Molecule: ribosomal RNA, 417 nt
Filed under: uncultured bacterium
Lineage: Bacteria
Description: partial 16S ribosomal RNA
Rfam family: Bacterial small subunit ribosomal RNA
Source: RNAcentral